Molecule: ribosomal RNA, 1277 nt
Filed under: uncultured bacterium
Lineage: Bacteria
Description: bacterial SSU rRNA
Rfam family: Bacterial small subunit ribosomal RNA
Source: RNAcentral
CUUGUGACUGAGCGGCGGACGGGUGAGUAACGCGUGGGUAACCUGCCUCAUACAGGGGGAUAACAGUUAGAAAUGACUGCUAAUACCGCAUAAGACCACAGUACCGCAUGGUACAGUGGUAAAAACUCCGGUGGUAUGAGAUGGACCCGCGUCUGAUUAGGUAGUUGGUGGGGUAACGGCCCGCCAAGCCGACGAUCAGUAGCCGACCUGAGAGGGUGACCGGCCACGUUGGGACUGAGACACGGCCCAAACUCCUACGGGAGGCAGCAGUUGGGAAUAUUGCACAAUGGGCGAAAGCCUGACCGAGCAACGCCGCGUGAGGGAGGAAGUCAUUCGUGAUGUAAACCUCUGUUAUAAAGGAAGAAACGCCUGGAUAGGAAAUGAUACAGGCUUGACGGUACUUUAUGAGGAAGCCACGGCUAACUACGUGCCAGCAGCCGCGGUAAUACGUAGGUGGCGAGCGUUAUCCGGAAUCAUUGGGCGUAAAGAGGGAGCAGGCGGCAGCUAGGGUCUGCGGUGAAAGACCGAAGCUAAACUUCGGUAAGCCGUGGAAACCGAGCAGCUAGAGAGCAGCAGAGGAUCGUGGAAUUCCAUGUGUAGCGGUGAAAUGCGUAGAUAUAUGGAGGAACACCAGUGGCGAAGGCGACGAUCUGGGCUGCAACUGACGCUCAGUCCCGAAAGCGUGGGGAGCAAAUAGGAUUAGAUACCCUAGUAGUCCACGCCGUAAACGAUGAGUACUAAGUGUUGGGGGUCAAACCUCAGUGCUGCAGUUAACGCAAUAAGUACUCCGCCUGAGUAGUACGUUCGCAAGAAUGAAACUCAAAGGAAUUGACGGGGGCCCGCACAAGCGGUGGAGCAUGUGGUUUAAUUCGAAGCAACGCGAAGAACCUUACCAGGUCUUGACAUACCAAUAAAGGCCUCAGAGAUGAGGAGAUAGAUAUAAUGGAUACAGGUGGUGCAUGGUUAUCGUCAGCUCGUGUCGUGAGAUGUUGGGUUAAGUCCCGCAACGAGCGCAACCCUUGUCGCUAGUUACCAUCAUUAAGUUGGGGACUCUAGCGAGACUGCCUCUGCAAGGAGGAGGAGGGCGGGGAUGACGUCAAAUCAUCAUGCCCCUUAUGACCUGGGCUACACACGUGCUACAAUGGACGGAUCAGAGGGAAGCGAAGCUGCGAAGUGGAGCGAAACCCAAAAACCCGUUCUCAGUUCGGACUGCAGUCUGCAACUCGACUGCACGAAGUUGGAAACGCUAGUAAUCGCGAAUCAGAAUGUCGCGGUGA